GACGAACGCUGGCGGCGUGCCUAAUACAUGCAAGUAGAACGCACAGUUUAUACCGUAGCUUGCUACACCAUAAACUGUGAGUUGCGAACGGGUGAGUAACGCGUAGGUAACCUGCCUGGUAGCGGGGGAUAACUAUUGGAAACGAUAGCUAAUACCGCAUAAUAUUGAUUAUUGCAUGAUAAUUGAUUGAAAGAUGCUAUUGCAUCACUACCAGAUGGACCUGCGUUGUAUUAGCUAGUAGGUGAGGUAACGGCUCACCUAGGCGACGAUACAUAGCCGACCUGAGAGGGUGAUCGGCCACACUGGGACUGAGACACGGCCCAGACUCCUACGGGAGGCAGCAGUAGGGAAUCUUCGGCAAUGGACGAAAGUCUGACCGAGCAACGCCGCGUGAGUGAAGAAGGGUUUCGGAUCGUAAAGCUCUGUUGUAAGAGAAGAACGGGUGUGAGAGUGGAAAGCUCACACUGUGACGGUAUCUUACCAGAAAGGGACGGCUAACUACGUG
This 505-nucleotide ribosomal RNA is filed under the name uncultured bacterium. RNAcentral describes it as "partial 16S ribosomal RNA". It matches the Rfam family "Bacterial small subunit ribosomal RNA", at positions 28 to 507 of the family's 1533-position model. The record is from RNAcentral.